UGCGACGUCCUCGUCGCAACUGAAUUGAUUACAAUUGCUAACCAGGACCGGAUCCUUAGGUAUUGUGGUUUAAGGGUGAGCAGUAUUCGGUUAAAACCGAAAAAACUGACCGAACCGAACCGAUUUGAAAAUUUGGUUCGGUUUUUUAUAUAUUUCGGUUCGGUUCGGUUUUUAAUUUCAAAAAUUUCGGUUAUUUCGGUUCGGUUCGGUUCGGUUUUAAUCAGAAAAAAACCAAAAAAACCGAACCGAACCGAUUAGUAAUAAUAAUAUAUUUUUUC
This 278-nucleotide long non-coding RNA is filed under the name Manihot esculenta (cassava). RNAcentral describes it as "long non-coding RNA (MESC_LNC000720)". The record is from RNAcentral. Lineage: Eukaryota; Viridiplantae; Streptophyta; Magnoliopsida; Malpighiales; Euphorbiaceae.